Molecule: ribosomal RNA, 400 nt
Filed under: uncultured Glomeromycotina
Lineage: Eukaryota; Fungi; Glomeromycota
Description: eukaryotic LSU rRNA
Source: RNAcentral
GAAAAGAACUUUGAAAAGAGAGUCAAACAGUACGUGAAAUUGUUGAAAGGGAAACGAUUGAAGCCAGUCGUACCGACGGGAAUUCAACUUUUUGAGCGCUUGUCGUGGGUGAUGUAGAGCCUCACGGCCUUCGUUGCUUUGCGUUAUGGUGCUUUUAGGGUGUACUUUUCCGUAUGGUAGGUCAAUAUCGAUUUUUGUUGCGUCAUAAUGAUUGUAGGAAUGUGGCUCUUUCGGGAGUGUUAUAGCCUACUUUAGAUGGCGUGAUAAAGAUCGAGGAUUGCAGCGAAUGCCUUCAGGCUAUGGAUCUGUUCUGUGUCGAUCGUUAAUUGCACUUCAGCUUGCUGAGGGACAGUUGAUAGAUUUACAAUAGGAUAGAAUCUAAUAAAUUCGCUAAGGAUGU